RNAcentral lists this transfer RNA (57 nucleotides) under Bos taurus (domestic cattle). It matches the Rfam family "tRNA", at positions 8 to 63 of the family's 71-position model. From Rfam's summary of the family: Transfer RNA (tRNA) molecules are approximately 80 nucleotides in length. Their secondary structure includes four short double-helical elements and three loops (D, anti-codon, and T loops). Further hydrogen bonds mediate the characteristic L-shaped molecular structure. tRNAs have two regions of fundamental functional importance: the anti-codon, which is responsible for specific mRNA codon recognition, and the 3' end, to which the tRNAs corresponding amino acid is attached (by aminoacyl-tRNA synthetases). tRNAs cope with the degeneracy of the genetic code in two manners: having more than one tRNA (with a specific anti-codon) for a particular amino acid; and 'wobble' base-pairing, i.e. permitting non-standard base-pairing at the 3rd anti-codon position. RNAcentral also lists the same sequence under 3 other names. Lineage: Eukaryota; Metazoa; Chordata; Mammalia; Artiodactyla; Bovidae. The record is from Rfam by way of RNAcentral.
UAGCUCAGAUGGUAAAGCGUCUGCCUACAAGGCAGGAGACCCAGGUUCGAUCCCUGG